AAAGUUUUAGUAUAAUUUAGUAUGUUUCAUUGUCAAUGAAUUGGUAAAAAACUUUU
This 56-nucleotide transfer RNA is filed under the name Steinernema carpocapsae. RNAcentral's name for it is "tRNA-Asp". Lineage: Eukaryota; Metazoa; Nematoda; Chromadorea; Rhabditida; Steinernematidae. The record is from RNAcentral.